AUUGAACGCUGGCGGCAUGCUUUACACAUGCAAGUCGAACGGUAACAGGCCGCAAGGUGCUGACGAGUGGCGAACGGGUGAGUAAUGCAUCGGAACGUGCCCAGUCGUGGGGGAUAACGCAGCGAAAGCUGUGCUAAUACCGCAUACGAUCUAUGGAUGAAAGCGGGGGACCGUAAGGCCUCGCGCGAUUCGAGCGGCCGAUGUCAGAUUAGCUAGUUGGUGGGGUAAAGGCCCACCAAGGCGACGAUCUGUAGCUGGUCUGAGAUGACGACCAGCGACACGGGGACGGAGACACGGCCCAGACUCUUACGGGGGGCAGGAGUGGGGAAUUUUGGACAAUGGGCGCAAGCCUGAUCCAGCAAUGCCGCGUGCAGGAAGAAGGCCUUCGGGUUGUAAACUGCUUUUGUACGGAACGAAACGGUCUGGGUUAAUACCCUGGGCUAAUGACGGUACCGUAAGAAUAAGCACCGGCUAACUACGUGCCAGCCGCCGCCGUAA
This 498-nucleotide ribosomal RNA is filed under the name uncultured bacterium. RNAcentral's name for it is "partial 16S ribosomal RNA". It matches the Rfam family "Bacterial small subunit ribosomal RNA", at positions 29 to 523 of the family's 1533-position model. The record is from RNAcentral.